This 1350-nucleotide long non-coding RNA is filed under the name Lonchura striata (white-rumped munia). RNAcentral describes it as "domestica (Bengalese finch) lncRNA (ENSLSDG00000014606.1)". The record is from RNAcentral. Lineage: Eukaryota; Metazoa; Chordata; Aves; Passeriformes; Estrildidae.
CUAUUCUCAAAAUUAUUACACCAACUCUCAGUUAAUGUUACUAUUCAGGUACUGUCUUUUUUGGCAGAUUCCUCAGGACAAAUUUCUUCUGCAAGUCCUUUCAGAGGAGACAUACCAGUGAAAUGCCCACAAUAACACAUUGAAAAGGAGAUGAUGAAAUAAAAUGGCAAGGACUAUGUGGAACCAAACAGCAACUACUGGCGUCUUCUUGUAGAAAACCCUUACACUGCUCAAGCAUCUCUACUCUAUUCCUCCCUUUGCUUCAUGCCCCACAAGUGUGGCACAGCCCCUGUUCUGGGACAGAAGGACAGACGUCCAAGGGACAUGGGCAUUUCUUCUCAGCUUAGCCAUGAUCCAUAUGAUGGGGCGAUGUAGCCGAGCUGUGGGCUGACCGAGGUUUGCAUCACUGCCCUGACCCAGAUUGCAUCUGCAGUCAUCUGGAACUGACUACAUGCCUGAACUGAUAAAAGAGGCUGUGGAAAUAAGGAUCUCUGGGGCCUUGGCAAGGUGCUUGUGCCAUAUCCACCUGUCCUCUGGAAGACAAAAGAGUGAAGAUCAGCAGUGUGUCAUUUAUUCUGCAAAAACUGAACAGAUGAGAACUGCUGUGACAGCCAAUAGAAGAAAUUAAAAAUUAAGAAAAGGCUGGUAUGGAACAAGAGGAAAAUUAUCCCAGCAUUUUGCACUUUUUUGUAAUCAAAGUCCUGUCUUUGGAGGGUGUUAUAUCAACUACACACUUGGUGAGGCCUGUAGGGAUUUUCCUUGUGUAACGCCUGCAGGAUUUAGCCUUAGCAUGUCACACUAUUAUAAGAGUGAUGUCCAGUAAGCAAUAGGUGGACUCUCUUGGGAAAAACACAGGAAGAAAACUUGGUGAGAGCUGGAUCCUCUGCAGUGUCACCUCUCAUGAAGGAUUGACAAAAGGAAAAAAAAAAAAAGGAGUGAACUAAUAUUAGAAGGAUGGAUUGGAUGCUUCCUGUUGUAGAACAGGAUAAAAUCCUGUGACAUGUUCCUUCCUAUUAGGUGGGAUACUACUGCUUAUGAUAAAGAUUGAUUUCUAAAAAUCCAUUGUAAAGAUAUAGGUCAGCAAAUAAGACAGUGACUUGACUAAUUUUUCAUUUCAAAAUGUAUGAUAGUUUCAUGCCUUUAAUUGACAUCAGUGCAGUGUGUUGUUGAAUCCAAUGAAAUUUGAAUCCCACUAUGAAUUUGUUUUCCACAGAUUAUGAACAGAAGCCUUUGAUUUCUAUUAAUUAUGUAUUUUUGAGUGAAAAGCUAUUUUGUGUAUAUAUAUUUAAUAGCAGGAAAUGUAGCAAAUGUUUAUUUUUAUUAAACUAAUAAAAAGGAUAAAAUCUAUCA